Molecule: ribosomal RNA, 253 nt
Filed under: uncultured bacterium
Lineage: Bacteria
Description: partial 16S ribosomal RNA
Rfam family: Bacterial small subunit ribosomal RNA
Source: RNAcentral
UACGUAGGGGACAAGCGUUGUCCGGAUUUACUGGGCGUAAAGAGCGCGCAGGCGGUCGAUCAAGUCGAGUGUGAAAGCCCCCGGCUCAACUGGGGAGGGUCAUUCGAUACUGAUCGACUCGAAGGCAGGAGAGGGUAGUGGAAUUCCCGGUGUAGUGGUGAAAUGCGUAGAUAUCGGGAGGAACACCAGUGGCGAAGGCGACUACCUGGCCUGUUCUUGACGCUGAGGCGCGAAAGCUAGGGGAGCAAACAGG